UCUAUUAUGGCAGAAUAAUAUGCAUUGGAUUUAAGACCCAUUUAUAAAGAUUUUAAAUCUUUUUAUAGAA
Molecule: transfer RNA, 70 nt
Filed under: Taxonus zhangi
Lineage: Eukaryota; Metazoa; Arthropoda; Insecta; Hymenoptera; Tenthredinidae
Description: tRNA-Leu
Rfam family: tRNA
About the family: Transfer RNA (tRNA) molecules are approximately 80 nucleotides in length. Their secondary structure includes four short double-helical elements and three loops (D, anti-codon, and T loops). Further hydrogen bonds mediate the characteristic L-shaped molecular structure. tRNAs have two regions of fundamental functional importance: the anti-codon, which is responsible for specific mRNA codon recognition, and the 3' end, to which the tRNAs corresponding amino acid is attached (by aminoacyl-tRNA synthetases). tRNAs cope with the degeneracy of the genetic code in two manners: having more than one tRNA (with a specific anti-codon) for a particular amino acid; and 'wobble' base-pairing, i.e. permitting non-standard base-pairing at the 3rd anti-codon position.
Source: RNAcentral